ACUAAAUAUGACUAAGAUCUACUAAGAUUUUGGCAUGAUUCCUGACAUAUUUAUAUUAAAAAGCAUCAUCAUUUCGUAUUAAGUGAAAUAUGCUGCUUAUGGAAGAGAUAAUUGUGGCGAGUUGCUGGUUCUGGAAGGCAAAACUGGAAUUCAUAUAUCCGAUAUAACAUGUGACACAAAUCGUGUUGGAACAAAUACUCUGUUAGCCAUAAUAUUUUGCUUGAUUUGUUCUUUCACAAGCGAGUGAUUCCUUUUUCCAUUCUUUGGCAACAAUUCUAAGACCCUUACAUAAACGUUAGGCAGUCCGAAGUUAUCCUGUAGCUACUAUUAUAGGCAGGUCCACAUCAGGACUUCAGUCUUGCGUUCGGUAAACCUGCGUUAACAAAUAAACCAUGUAUGUAUGUAUGCCUGUAUGUAUUA
Actinia tenebrosa (Australian red waratah sea anemone) is the source of this 420-nucleotide long non-coding RNA. RefSeq lists it as uncharacterized. NCBI's taxonomy places the organism in Eukaryota, Metazoa, Cnidaria, Anthozoa, Actiniaria, Actiniidae. The record is from RefSeq and is a predicted model, not a curated record.